Molecule: ribosomal RNA, 464 nt
Filed under: uncultured bacterium
Lineage: Bacteria
Description: bacterial SSU rRNA
Rfam family: Bacterial small subunit ribosomal RNA
Source: RNAcentral
CUACGGGAGGCAGCAGUGGGGAAUCUUCCGCAAUGGACGAAAGUCUGACGGAGCAACGCCGCGUGUAUGACGAAGGCCUUCGGGUUGUAAAGUACUGUCUUCAGGGACGAACGGCAUCUAUGCGAAUAGUGUGGGUGCAUGACGGUACCUGAGGAGGAAGCCCCGGCUAACUACGUGCCAGCAGCCGCGGUAAUACGUAGGGGGCAAGCGUUGUCCGGAAUCAUUGGGCGUAAAGGGCGCGUAGGCGGAUAUUUAAGUCUGGUGUGAAAUUUAGAGGCUCAACCUCUAAUCUGCAUCGGAAACUGGAUAUCUUGAGGACAGGAGAGGAAAGUGGAAUUCCACGUGUAGCGGUGAAAUGCGUAGAGAUGUGGAGGAACACCAGUGGCGAAGGCGACUUUCUGGACUGUAACUGACGCUGAGGCGCGAAAGCGUGGGGAGCAAACAGGAUUAGAUACCCUGGUAGG